This is a long non-coding RNA of Bacillus rossius redtenbacheri, 2668 nucleotides long. RefSeq lists it as uncharacterized. The record is from RefSeq and is a predicted model, not a curated record. The transcript has 2 exons. Lineage: Eukaryota; Metazoa; Arthropoda; Insecta; Phasmatodea; Bacillidae.
AUGGCAACGGGCAUCGCGCGGCAGAGGCGUACCCACAAGGAGGGGCAUGUAUAAUGGGCGGCGCAAGAGUGAUCUGCCUGUAGACUGCCGUAGCGAAGUACGGGUACAUCAGUUGUACGUUGCGUGCACGAGUCGGGAAACCAUUGGUGCUAUUCAUUUUCUCUCCGGUACAUUAUACAGCAUUGUAAUAAAUUUUCACUGAAUUUUUUUUUAUUUACCGUUACUGUAAAUGGGAGAUGUGGCUUAAUUUUUUUCCACUAGUAUAGCCGUGCGAAGCCGGGUCGGGCAGCUAGUAACAAUAUAUAAAUCCCAAUGUGCGACUGACUGACUGACUGACUGACUGACUGACUGACUGACUGACUGACUGACUGACUGACUGACUGACUGACUGACUGACUGACUGACUGACUGACUGACUGACUGACUGACUGACUGACUGACUGACUGACAUUGAAUUGCUUGCUUACUUACUUACUACUUACUUACUUACUACUUACUUACUUACUUACUUACUUACUUACUUACUUACUUACUUUAGAAUGUCAAAAUUUUCACAAGAGGUAGAUCUCAAUCUGGCCGAUGGAAAAAUUCCAAACAUUUGCGGGAACUCUCUCCCUCCCCUCUUCCAAAAAAAUGAAAGCUACCAAACCAUCCCAAGUCAGGCCAUCGUAAUAUUGUUAUAGAAGAAUUGUCAUGGUAACACCAUUGUUUGAGAUGAUGGAAAAUCAUCUAAAUGAUAUACCAGGGUUGUCUGAAAAGUUUUUUACCUCAACCUGAAGAUGGCAGCACUCGUCAAUGAAAAUUGGGGAAUGUGUUUAGUCAUGUUUUGGAAUAUAUUGUCUGAAAUUUCAGCCAUUUUGAACUUGAAUUGAUUUUUUAACCUUCGUUUUCAUGAGUCGAUGCGCAUAUUUUUGUGAAAAUGAAAAAAGGUGUGUCGAAGUGUCAUUAAAUAUUUGCUUUUGAAAGGCUAUACGCCUACGCUAAUUGAAGAUGAGUUGGACGGUGUGCACGGCGACUCUGCGCCAUCAUUUACCACAGGGAUAUUUCAGGCAGCUCACUUCAAACAUGGCCACACCAGCUCGGGUGAUGAACGUCUGCGACACCAAAAACCGCGAAGGGAGAAUCAGCUCCAGAAAAUGCAAAGACUGUUCCUUUGGCUGGAGAAAAUACAGAGAUACUGUUUUCUAGGUUAGUCAUGGAAUUGUCUUAAUAAAUUAUUUUGGAAAAAGAAUAGCAUAACUAUGCAUCAUUACUUGACAAGCUGAAGGCAGAAAUUGCAGAAAAAUGUCACAUUUGCAGAAACAAAGAAAUUUGUUUCACCAGAACAAUGCACCAGCUCACACCUCAGCGGUUGCCAUGUUGAAAAUAUACGAACUGCGGUUGGAACUGCUUGACCACCCUCCUAACUCACCAGAUCUAAACCCAAUUUACAUUUUUAUUGUUCCCCGGGCUAAAAGUUGCACUCAGAGGACAGACAUUUUUGUCGAAUGAGGAGGCCAUCACGUUCGUAAACAACUAUUAUGCAGAUACUCACACAAACAAUUGUUAAAAAACAAUUGCUCGUCCAAAAUGGCUGAAAUUUCAGACAGUAUAUUCCAAAACAUGACUUAACACAUUCCCCAAUUUUCGUUGACGAGUGCUGCCAUCUGCAUGAUGAGGUCGGAAACUUUUCAAACAACCCUCGUAGUUACAAAAAUUGCUACAGACACUUUAUGAUGACAAAAAGCUCUAAUAUUUUAUUUACGGAAAAUCUUAUAUGUAUUAUUGGUGACAAAACACCAAAAUAUCAUUACUACCAAAUUUGCCCAGCAGAAUUUUUCACUUGUUUUUAAUGAUGGGACAAAUUUUUGUUUAUUUGUAAGUUAUGGCCAUAGACUACAAUAACAUGUGAACACAGAAAAAAUGUUACUCUCUUCUGUGAGAAAUAUAUUGUUUGAUGGGGGUAGCCUAUGAUUCACAGGUCUUGAUGCCCAUUCGGGCAUGUUUUUGCAUUUUUGGAUUUUUUCACCUGUUGUAAAAAAACAGAAUAUAAACAGUAAAUACACUUCAAUCCCUCAUGCAGAGGAUUUGUAUUAUGUGCAAUAGGUUAGAAUACUUAUAAAAUGUUGGAAGAUUUUGUUUUUCCUACAAUUUUACUCAACUUUCAGGUAAGAGAAUAUUAUAUUUCUGGUCAAAUUUAUGUUGAUUCGUUACAAUACUAUGUUAGUCCAUUACACAUUGUCAAAACAUGCUAAUGUUUCAACUCUAGUUUUGUAACUUCAUUUUCUGUAAAAAUUACUAUGUAUUAAUAAUGGGAGUUAUUCUGUUUCAGGUUGAUUUUUGGAGGUUCAGCAUAUUUUAAAGAGUGUGCGUGCAUAUAUAUACACAUAUAUAUAUAUAUGUGUGUGUGUGUAUUAUAUAUGUAAAUUUUUUGGUGGUGUAGCAGUUUAUUGCAUUCAAGCGAGAAUAUUCAAAAGUAAUUUUUGCCAGAUGUGAAUUCUUGAGGCAUAUGAAGAAAUGAAUAUUAGCUUUCAAUCAACUGCUUGGAUGGCCUUUGAAAAUCAGCAAGGAUUGAAUCAAUCAUAUUUGUAACUGCAAUAUUUUUGGACUGAGUCUAAUUUAAAAACAAUUGAAUGUAUGUUAAAACAUUAAAAUUACUCUAAUAAAAAAGAUUUCCAAAAUAUUUUAA